CCUACGGGUGGCUGCAGUGAGGAAUAUUGGUCAAUGGGCGGGAGCCUGAACCAGCCAAGUCGCGUGAGGGACGACGGUCCUAUGGAUUGUAAACCUCUUUUGUCGGGGAACAAAGGCGCCCACGGGUGGGCGGAUGAGUGUACCCGAAGAAAAAGCAUCGGCUAACUCAGUGCCAGCAGCCGCGGUAAUAAGGAGGAUGGGAGCGUUAUCCGGAUUUAUUGGGGUUAAAGGGUGUGUAAGCGGACAGUCAAGUCAGCGGUAAAAAUGCGGUGAUCAACGGCGUACAGCCGUUGAAACUGGCAGUCUUGAGUGUGCGGGAAGUAUGCGGGAUGCGUGGUGU
Molecule: ribosomal RNA, 340 nt
Filed under: uncultured bacterium
Lineage: Bacteria
Description: partial 16S ribosomal RNA
Rfam family: Bacterial small subunit ribosomal RNA
Source: RNAcentral